RNAcentral lists this ribosomal RNA (253 nucleotides) under uncultured bacterium. RNAcentral's name for it is "partial 16S ribosomal RNA". It matches the Rfam family "Bacterial small subunit ribosomal RNA", at positions 524 to 776 of the family's 1533-position model. The record is from RNAcentral.
UACGAAGGGGGCUAGCGUUGCUCGGAAUCACUGGGCGUAAAGGGUGCGUAGGCGGGUUUUUAAGUCAGGGGUGAAAUCCUGGAGCUCAACUCCAGAACUGCCUUUGAUACUGAAGAUCUUGAGUCCGGGAGAGGUGAGUGGAACUGCGAGUGUAGAGGUGAAAUUCGUAGAUAUUCGCAAGAACACCAGUGGCGAAGGCGGCUCACUGGCCCGGUUCUGACGCUGAGGCGCGAAAGCGUGGGGAGCAAACAGG